UCAAAAAAUCCAUUUGUUCCGAUCGUUAAUUUACAAUUCAGCAUUGAAACAGUUGUGAAAUGCUAAAUCAAAAGUCCCAUUAUAGAAUAAUAAGUAUAUAUAGAAUAUUUACCACUGACAUAAUUAUAGGUUUAUAUUAAGAUGAGGAGCAGCCAUAAAAGCUCUGAUCCUUUUAUAUAUUUUACAUUUUCUAUCUUUUGCUCAUUAUGCAAAAUUUGCUUGAAAAUUAAUCUCUUUGAAGAAUGAUUGAUACUAGAGGUAAAACAGAAAUAGUAAUUAAAUAAUGACAAGUUUUGUUGUUCUAGAUUUCAGAAAUGAAAAUUAUUUAGGGAAUGUAGUUUUGUUUACAGUUAUUGAAAAGGCUUCCAUAUGUUAACCCCUUGGAAUACACCUAAUCGCUAUUUAUUCCCAUCCAGAUAAGUUCUCACAUUGCACAACUUUUUUUUACGAUACAAACCAUUUGAAGUUAUCUAGGGCCCUUGUUUAAACAAUGUAUUGUGCAUAAAACUUGUAACAGUGCAUGAACUUUGUUUUUACAACACUUGAAAUAAAAAUAAAGUUGCCUAUUAAGUGACUGGACUAAAGAGUGAUAAUGUGUCAGUGGCAGAUCCAGGGGAGGGGGAGGGUGGCGUCCCGGGGUUGGAACCCCCUUUUUGUUUGGACGAUCAAUGCAUUUGAAUGGGGACAUGUGGUUGGAACCCCCCCCCCCCUUUAUCCUGGUUAGGACCCCCCCCCCCCUUUUUAAAUGGCUGGAUUUGCCCCUGUGUGUGUAAACUGUAAGGUAUAAUUGUGUUUUUUCUUGGAUGCCGUAUGGAACUCCUGCCCAGUAAGGGAAAUUUGUAGAACCAAAACUGACAAAUUUUGGCUAUUGUGUCGCAUAAUAAUCGUAAUUUGUGUUCAAGUGAUAAUCCAUGACCUGACUUUUCGUUUGACAAUCAAACAAUUAAGAUUCUUCUUGUAUUUGUAUAGUUGUUAAAUUUAAAACAAUGAUGCUAUAAACCUUUGUGUAUAUAUAGAUAGUUCCUGUAAUCUAAAAUUAUUCUUUCUUUUUAUUACCUCAAUGAGGAAGAAUCUGUUUUAAUAUUUUCGAGACUACCAAAUUUCGUAGAUUUAGGAAAAUGCAUCUUCAUGAAUACUUAAUUUCAUGUUUUUUCCAAAGUGCAUACAAUCUUAUAGAAAAUUUGUAAUUCGAUGAACAUUUUAAUUCAUGGUUUACCUGUACCCACGUAAAUUGGUACCCAAUGAAUAAUAAAUGAAUCCACAGUAAUUUAAAUUUUAACUGAUAAAGUGCUGUUUUGUUGAGCUAAAUUUGAUAGAUAGUCUCACAACAAUAUAAAAAUAUUGCUUUGGUAACAUGAAAUGAAAACUUUGCAUUUGCAUGUGUGAUGGAUAUAAACAGUCAAAACAGAUUACGUUUAGUACAUGCGACCUUUGAUGUUACAUACAUUUGAAUCUGAAGCCCACCUCUGUGUGAGGGAUUUUCUUGUUGUGUUGAAGAUUCAUUGGUUGCUUUGGGCUGUUUUCUGCUCUUUGGAUGGAUUGUUGUCUCUUUGACACCAUCCCUAUUUCUAUUCUUAAUUUUAUUUGGUUUCUGGUACUAGAAUAUAGUUGUCUCAUUGGUAAUUGUACCACAUCUCCUUUAUAAAGCUUUACAUACAUUUAGUAGAUAGUUGUCUCAUUGGCAAUCAUACCACAUCUCCUUUGUUUAGCUUUAGAUAAAAUCAUUCUUAUUCUAUAUGAAUAAAGAGCAAGUAACGUUGACGCCUUUCAAAUAUGUGUCUGUGGCAUAUUAUUAAUUUGCAAUCAUAUCAUUUGACCCUCAAUUCAUCCAGGAAAUAUGUUUUCUUCACAUUUUUGUCAGAAACAACAAAACAGAAUGACCUCAUAUUUGGUCAGCAGCUCAAAAGUUAUGAGUUUUAACAUUAGUGAAUUUAAAAGCUUUGUCAGACUCCUUAUUACUGUUUUCCAAUAGUUUGAAUAACAGGUCACUACAUAUCAAUUCAGAUGGUUUAGAUAUUGGUGUUAGCACUGUAUCAGCCUAAUGGCAUCACUAAUUGAAUAUGUUACUUACCUAGAUAUUUUUAGACACAGUAACUUGUUAAUCAUCAGUUAAAUGUUGUACAUUUGCCAUUAUAGGAAGCAAGAUUGAUAAAAACUAAUUUUACUUUCAAGUAUUUUGAGUGUCCAUCUUAUACAUUCCACUGAGGUUUGCUCAUUUCUAUCUUUGACAAUGUUUAAUGUGUUCAUGUCUUAUUGUGGCUUCUGCUGGAUAUUUUUAUUCAACUUUGUGGUGUGAGAGUUUAGGCUUCAAUUGCAUACUACUGUGAAUUCAUUUAUUUUCGUGGGUACCAAUUUUCGUGGAUGAAGGAAAAAUCACAUGUUUGUGAAUAUUUAAUUUCAUGGUUUUGCCGAAGUUUGCAUACAAAACUAUAGAAAAUUUGACAUUUGUUGAACAUUUAAUUCCGUGUCUCGGCUGUACCCACGAAAUCCACGAAAAUUGGUAUCCAACAAAUAAUAUUGAAUCCACUGUAUAGGUUACCACUAUUAUGGAUAUUUGAGACAAAUUUUAUUUAAUGUUGAACAGACACAUAACAAUUCAAUCUGCAGUUCUUUACCAAAAUCAUUUUACAAUUGAAAGUUAGUGUUUCUCAUAAAAGGAUUUUUAUGGAUAAUCAAAAUAUUUUUAGAUUUGAAUUUUUCUCAGAACUGUUCAACAAACUUUACAAAUUUUCCAUCCAACAUGAAACAUGUAGUAUGACUUCAUCACAUUAAAUUUAUUUAAUAUUACAUUUAAUAUAACAUUAUCUGUUUUUGUGGGACCAACUAAUGCAAUAAAUUCCAUGCUUUUGAUUUUGUAUAAUUGUUCAUAAAUAGAGAUGUUAUACUGUAGGAGAUGUAAUUCAUCCAGCCAUGUUUAGAUACUAGUCAGUAUGAACAUUUACCAUGUAAUUUGUAUGGAGUUCUUUUAUUAUGAAAUUUUCAAAUAGAACUGUACCCCUGUUGACAUCUUCAACCUGAGGGAUCACCACUUUCACAAUUUUCAAACCAGGGAAAACUUGUUUGAUGACAUAGUUUUUGUCGAGCCUGCAACUUUUGUUGCAGAAAGCUCGACAUAGGGAUAGUGAUCCGGCGGCGGCGGCGGCUACGGCG
RNAcentral lists this long non-coding RNA (3150 nucleotides) under Mytilus galloprovincialis (Mediterranean mussel). The record is from RNAcentral. Lineage: Eukaryota; Metazoa; Mollusca; Bivalvia; Mytilida; Mytilidae.